CCCGCCUGCCCUGUGACCAUGUGUUUAACGGCCGCGGUAUUUUGACCGUGCGAAGGUAGCGCAAUCACUUGUCUUUUAAAUGAAGACCUGUAUGAAUGGCAUAACGAGGGCUAAGCUGUCUCCUUUUUCCAGUCAAUGAAAUUGAUCUGCCCGUGCAGAAGCGGGCAUAAACACAUUAGACGAGAAGACCCUAUGGAGCUUCAGACACAAGGACAGCCUAUGUUAAGAAACCUUAAUCAAGAGACUAAACCAAACAGUCCCUGUCCUCCUGUCUUUGGUUGGGGCGACCGCGGGGUAACAACUAACCCCCAUGUGGAACAAGGACACCUCCUUUAAAACCAGGGCCACAGCCCUAAUAAGCAGAACAUCUGACCAACAAGAUCCGGCACUGCCGAUCAACGGACCGAGUUACCCUAGGGAUAACAGCGCAAUCCUCUUUUAGAGCCCAUAUCGACAAGGGGGUUUACGACCUCGAUGUUGGAUCAGGACAUCCUAAUGGUGCAGCCGCUAUUAAGGGUUCGUUUGUUCAACGAUUAAUAGUCCUACGUGAUCUG
RNAcentral lists this ribosomal RNA (554 nucleotides) under Dormitator latifrons. RNAcentral's name for it is "partial 16S ribosomal RNA". It matches the Rfam family "Bacterial large subunit ribosomal RNA", at positions 1854 to 2607 of the family's 2925-position model. The record is from RNAcentral. Lineage: Eukaryota; Metazoa; Chordata; Actinopteri; Gobiiformes; Eleotridae.